GCGACCUACGGGACGCAGCAGUGAGGAAUAUUGGUCAAUGGGCGGGAGCCUGAACCAGCCAAGUCGCGUGAGGGACGACGGUCCUAUGGAUUGUAAACCUCUUUUGUCGGGGAACAAAGGCGCCCACGGGUGGGCGGAUGAGUGUACCCGAAGAAAAAGCAUCGGCUAACUCCGUGCCAGCAGCCGCGGUAAUACGGAGGAUGCGAGCGUUAUCCGGAUUUAUUGGGUUUAAAGGGUGAGUAGGCGGACGGUCAAGUCAGCGGUAAAAAUGCGGUGCUCAACGCCGUACAGAUGUUG
RNAcentral lists this ribosomal RNA (297 nucleotides) under uncultured bacterium. RNAcentral describes it as "partial 16S ribosomal RNA". It matches the Rfam family "Bacterial small subunit ribosomal RNA", at positions 334 to 629 of the family's 1533-position model. The record is from RNAcentral.